GGAAUAUUGGGCAAUGGGUGAGAGCCUGACCCAGCCAUGCCGCGUGCAGGAAGACGGCCCUCAGGGUUGUAAACUGCUUUUCUACGGGAAGAAAGAGGUUGUGCGCAACCAGUUGACGGUACCGUAGGAAUAAGCCCCGGCUAACUCCGUGCCAGCCGCCGCGGUAAUACGGAGGGUGCAAGCGUUGUCCGGAUUUAUUGGGUUUAAAGGGUACGUAGGCGGGCGUCUAAGUCAGUGGUGAAAGCCUACGGCUCAACUGUGGAACUGCCAUUGAUACUGGAUGCCUUCAGUAUAGUAGAGGUGGGCAGAAUUCAUGGUGUAGCGGUGAAAUGCAUAGAUACCAUGAGGAAUACCGAUAGGGAAGCCAGCUCACUGGACUAUUACUGACGCUAAGGUACGAAAGCGUGGGGAGCGAA
RNAcentral lists this ribosomal RNA (416 nucleotides) under uncultured bacterium. RNAcentral's name for it is "bacterial SSU rRNA". It matches the Rfam family "Bacterial small subunit ribosomal RNA", at positions 358 to 772 of the family's 1533-position model. The record is from RNAcentral.